Molecule: small RNA, 20 nt
Filed under: Arabidopsis thaliana (thale cress)
Lineage: Eukaryota; Viridiplantae; Streptophyta; Magnoliopsida; Brassicales; Brassicaceae
Description: Ath_wt_14849
Source: RNAcentral
UAUACCCGGCCGUCGGGGCA